RNAcentral lists this long non-coding RNA (5569 nucleotides) under Sus scrofa (pig). RNAcentral describes it as "lncRNA (ENSSSCG00065042977.1)". The record is from RNAcentral. Lineage: Eukaryota; Metazoa; Chordata; Mammalia; Artiodactyla; Suidae.
GCAUAUGGAGGUUCCCAGGCUAGGGGUCUCAUCAGAGGUGUAGCCGCCGGCCUACACCAGAGCCACAGCAACGCCAGAUCCGAGCCGCCUCUGCGACCACGUCUGCCACUCCUUUCACUCCUUUCAUUCUUUUCCUUCCUUUCUCUCUGCCUCUCCUCUUACCACUAUUAUUUGUGCUAUUAUAUUUAGACAAACUUUUUUUUUUUUUUUUUGUCUUUCCUAGGGCCACACUUGCGACAUAUAGAGGUUCCGAGGCUAGGGGUCUACUCGGAGCUGUAGCCAUAGUCACAGCCACAGUAACAUGGGAGCCGAGCCACGUCUGUGACUUAUACCACAGCUCACGGCAAUGCCGGAUCCUUAACCCACUGAGCGAGGCCAGGGAUUGAACCCAUAACCUCAUGGUUCCUAGUCGGAUUCGUUAACCACUGAGCCACAACAGGAACUCCUCAUUAGAACUUUCUAAAUAAAAAAAGGACCUAUCUGUGGCACGCGUACCACCAUCUCCUAUUCACUGCUCUUGCCAGAUGUCAAUAAUCAAUCACCAUGCCCUCCUCAACUCAGAACUCAAGGAAGUCACUGCCAAUUGAUUGUCAUUCACACAGGAGAUGACAUUUUCAUGAUUUUAUGUAAAUGAUUAGAAUAGGGAGACCAGGAGUUCCCACUGUGACUCAGUGGAAAUGAAUCUGACUGUCCAUGAAGAUGCAGGUUUGAUCCCUGGCCUUGAUCAGUGGGCUAAGGAUCCGAUGUUGCCAUGUGGCGUAGGUUGCAGAUGUGGUGUGGAUCCCGAGUUGCUGUGGCUGUUGCUCUGGUGUAGCAGCUACAGCUCCGAUUUGACCCCUAGCCUGGGAACCUCCAUAUGCCCUAGGUGCAGCCCUGAAAAAGCAAACAACCAACCAACAAGAAUAGGGAGACCAAAUCAGGCAGAUACUUGAUAUGCUUGUCCCUUUCACGUAUCCUUUGUUAGGAGAGUGUCACAAGAAAGGCAGGUUCUAGGACGGCUUCUCCUUGAGUCCUGUGGGUUGUGAGUCAGUCUGGGUGCAGCACUGUGCUCACUUUUCCAUCAGCCUGAGAAAACGCUGAGAAAGAAGAGAACCAUGGCCUGAGUUUCCCACUCGCCUCUGUCCCAGCCCCAGCGACAGUUUAUGGAAGACCUUUACCAGUACGUACAGGUGGGAAUCUUGCCUUUUCUCUCCUACCAGAGAUUUCAUACUUACCGAUGCACCAGCUUUCCCCAUAAACUAGCUCCCAGGCCCUGUGAUCACUGCCCUCUCCCUCCCCUCAGCUGCUUUGCUGUUUUGCUGUCUCUGUGAUGGUCCUCAAGACUCAGGUCCAGGGCUGGUCUCCAUCGAGUCUUUCAGUGGAAGCAGAGAAGAGCCAUUUCCCCACAUCCAUUCCUGACCCGUUGUUCCCAGAACGUGGGCCUUGCCAUUGUGGGCACCACCCACUGCUGCUCUGCCAACCCCAGCCCUGCCUUGGGCACGGGCUGACUCCUGUAGGCUUGUGGAGAUCGCGUGCCCUCCUGCCUACGUUUCAGAAGUCAAAGCUCAUUCUUGCUCUUCUUUAUCUUGUCUCUGCAUCAUGGGUGAAUCAGCAUCUGGGCCGACCCAUGGGGCUCGGCUGCUCGUGCUGUAUCUGAGUCUGGACCUGGGACUCAACAGGACCCUAGGUCUCUGACUUUCUAGCCACCAUCACACUUUCUGGCUUCUCCUCCCAGCGUGUUCUGUGUCCUAGCCUGAGAAUCAGCUUGGAGGACGUCUCCAGUGUCUGCCGUAUCCCCCAAGUUAAGUGACUGAGCCUCUCACCAGCCCUGUGUAGGCAGCAGCACUGGUCACUGGCAGGCCUCCCCAGAUUCCUCUCCUGGGGUGUCUGUGUCUUUCAUGCCAUUGGCACCUGGCCAGAGGUAUGUCUCCGGGCAGCCCUCUUCCAUGCACCUGCUGAGGCUCUGGAAAGUGCCUCUUGUUUUCUCCGCUGCCUGGGUUUCCCCCAGGCGAUGGGUUUGGGGGACUGGUUGAGCACUGUAAUAUCCAGAGAGUCCAUGGGGUUUUAACAAGCACAGACUGUCUGGAAAGUGUCUUCAGACUCUUCACACUCCUUUGACUGGAGACCAUGUCUUCAAAAAUCCUCUUCCUUUGCGCCAGAGCUUCAGGGGAGAGGGUGCCCUGCACGCCUCUGGUGUCUUAGGUUCCUGGGAGCAGAAAGACGGGGAUUCAAGAACACAUGUUUUAUUGAGGGAAAACACUCAGGAGGAGUCUGUGGGAGAGGGAGAGAAGCAGAGAAAAGCAGAAGGAAGGGGCCGAAAAGGAUGCUUUCUGAGGCCAAGGUCAGCUUUGUCCUGCUUCAUUGUGGGGGAUGGUCAAUCCUGUAGCUCAGAUCACAGCCAGGAUGGGUCAGGGGCCAAGGUACUUAUAUUAGUCAGUCAGUCCUUGGACAACCCCAGGCCAUGGGGAACUCAGCCUUCAGGGAGCAGUUCUGAGGACAGAGCCCCUGCUUUAGCCUUGGCAUCUGGGGGAUGUAGUGCCAACUGCCAGGGGAUAUCUGAGCUGGCACUGACUGCAGUGGGAGCUCAGGAAGAAGGAAGCUAAUUCUUAUUGAAGGGCUGCUGUGUGCGGGUGUGGGGAGCUUCUGCAUCCAUCUUCUCAUUUAAUUCUUUUUUUUAAUUUAUUUUCUAUUCUUUUUGUCUAUUUAGGGCCACACCUGCAGCAUAUGAAAGUUCCCAGGCUAGGGGUCGCAUUCCCACAGCCACAGCAACACCAGAUCUGAGCCACAUCUGUGACCUACGCCACAGCUCAUGGCAAAGCCGGAUCCUUAACCCACUGAGCGAGGCCAGGGUUAGAACCUGAAUCCUCAUGGAUACUCGUCAGGUUCGUUAACCACUGAGCCAUGGUGGGAACUCUGUUUUUUUUCUUGCUCUUUUUUUUUUUUGGACUUUACGUAUCCUGGAUAUAAAUUUAUUGUUAGUGUUAUAUUUGGUCUAUGGCUUGUCUUUUCUAUUCGAUGGUGGUUAUUUUAAACCUUAAUGCAUCGUAUUUUUCCUCUAUGGUUUGUGUUGUCUGUUUUUCAUAAUAUUUUUCUUCUAGUUUAUUGAGAUAUGAAUGGCAUACAGCACAGUAUAAGUUUAAGGUGUACAGCAUAAUGAUUUGACUUACAGACAUCAUGAAAUGAUUAUCAUAUUAAAUUUAGCGAACAUCCAUCAUCUUAUAUAGGUAAAAAAUUAAGGAAAUAGAAAAAAAUUUUCCUUAUGAUGAGAACGCUUAGGAUUUACUCUCUAAACAACGUUCACUUAUUACCUACAACAUUGUUAAUUAUAUUUAUCAUGUUGUACAUACAUCAUAUCCCCAGUACUUAUUUAUCUUCUAACUGGAAGUUUGUACCUUUUGCCUACUUUCAUCUUAUUCCCCCCACCUGAACCCACCACCUGAUCUCUUAUUCUGUUAAGGUUGUUUGGUUUUGAAAUAUAAUUGAUCUACAAUAUUCUGUUAGUUCCCGUUAUGCAAAUGAUCACCACGAUAAGUCUAGUUACCACCUGUCAUCAUAAAGACAUUACGUAAUUAUUGACUGUAUUCUCCACGUAGUGCCUUUCACACCUGUGACUCACUUAUUUUGUAACUAGGAGUCAGUCCCUCUUAAUCUCCCUCACCUAUUUCUCUCCUUCAUUCCCCCUCUUCCCUGGUAACCACCCGUUUCUUCUCUGUAUCUAUGACUUUGCUUCUGUUUGGUUAUAUUUGUUCAUUUCUUAUCUAGAUUACAUAUACGAGUGAAAUCAUACAGUAUUUGUCUUUUUCUGUCUGAUGUAUUUCACUUAAUAUAAUAGCCCUUAGGUUCAUCCAUACUGUUGCAAGAUUUCAUUCUUUCUUAACGGCUGAGUAGUAUUCCAUUGUGUGAUACCUCCUAUCUGUCUGUCUGUCUGUCUGUCUAUCUAUCUGUCUGUCUAUCCAUCUAUCCAUCUAUCAUAUAUCAUAUCUACUUUAUCCAUUCAUCUAUUUAUGGGCACUUAGGAUGCUUUCACAUGUUGGCUAUUGUAAAUAGUGCUGCAAUGAACAUAAGGGUGCAUGUAUCUUUUCAAAUUAGUGUUUUUGUUUUCUUUGGAUAAAUACCCAGAAGUGAAAUUGCUAGAUCAUAUGGUUGUUCUAUUUUGACUUUUUUUUUGAGGAAUCUUUAUACUGUUUUCCGUAGUGGCUGCACCAGUUUACAUUCCCACCAGCAGCACACAAGGGUUCCCUUUCUCUGCAUCCUUGCCAAUACCUGUUAUUGUCUUUUUGAUAAUAGCCAUUCUGGCAGACGUAUGGUGAUGUCUCCUUGUGGUUUUAGUUUGCAUUUCCCUAAUAAUUAAUGAUGCUGAGCAUCUUUUCGUAUGCCCCUUGUCCAUCUGUAUGUCUUCUUUGGAAAAAUGUCUAUUCAGGUCCUCUGCCACCUUUUUAAUACACCAGUCUUUUGUUUUUUGAUGUUGAGUUGUAUGAGUUCUUUGUGUAUUUUGCAUAUGAAUACCUUAUUGGAUGUAUCAUUUGCAAAUGUCUUCUCUCAUUCAGUGGGCAGCCUUUGCAUUUUGUUGAUAGUUUCCUUUACUGUGCAAAAGCUUUUUAGUUUGAUGUAGUCCCAUUUGUUUAUUUUUGCUUUGUUUUCCUUUCCUGAUGAGAUAUAUCCAGAAAAAUAUUGCUAAGAACAAUGUCAAAGAAUGUCCUGCCUGUGUUUUCUUCUAGAAGUUUUGGGGUUUCAGGUCUUACAUUUAAGCCCUUACUUCAUUUUGAGUUUAUUUUUCUGUGUGGUGUGAGAAAGUCCAGGUUGAUUCUCUUGCAUGUAGCUGUCCAGCUGUCCCAAUGUUAUUUAUGGAAGAGGCUCUCUUUUCCCUAUUGUAUAGUUGCCUCCUUUGUUGUAGAUUAAUUAUCCAUAUAAGUGUGGGUUUAUUUCUGGACCCUCUAUUCUGUUCCAUCAAUCUAUAGUCUGUUAUUUUGCCAACACCAUACUAUUUUGAUGACUGUAGCUUUGUAGUAUGGUUAAAAAUCAUGGAGUGUGAUAUCUCCAGUUUUGUUCUUCUUUCUCAAGAUUGUUUUGGCUCUUUGGAGUCUUUUGUGUUUGCAUACACUUUUAGAAUUAUCUGUUCUAGUUCUGUGAAAAAUGUCACAUGUAGUUUGAUAGAGAUCACAUUGAAUCUGUAUAUUCCCUUGAAUAGUAUGAUCGUUUCAACAAUAUUAAUUCUUCUAAUCCAUGAGCAUGAUGUAUUCUCUUUGUUUGUGUCAUCUUUGGUUUCCUUCAUCAGUGUCUUAGAGUUUUCUGAGUGUGGGUCUUUCAGUUCCUUAGUUAGAUUUAUUCCUAAGUACUGUAUUAUUUUUGAUGUGAUUGUAAGUGGGAUUGUUUUCUUAUUUUUUUUAUAAUAGUUCAUUGUUAGUGUAUAGAAAUGCAACAGGGAGUUCCCUUUAUGGCUCAGUGGGUUAAGAAUCCAGCUAGUAUCCAUGAGGAUGUGGGUUUGAUCCCUGGCCUCACUCAGUGGGUUAAAGAUCCUGCGUUGCCAUGAGCUAUGGUGUAGGCCACAGAGGCAGCUCAGAUCCUGCGUUGCUGAGGCUGUGGUGUAGAC